UACGUAGGGUGCAAGCGUUGUCCGGAAUUAUUGGGCGUAAAGAGCUCGUAGGCGGCUUGUCGCGUCGGCUGUGAAAACCUGGGGCUCAACCCCGGGCCUGCAGCCGAUACGGGCAAGCUAGAAUUCGGUAGGGGAGACUGGAAUUCCUGGUGUAGCGGUGAAAAUGCGCAGAUAUCAGGAGGAAACACCGGUGGCGAAAGGCGGGUUCUCUGGGGCCCUUUACCCUGACGCUUGGAGGGAAGCGAAAAAGCCGUGGGGGG
Molecule: ribosomal RNA, 260 nt
Filed under: uncultured bacterium
Lineage: Bacteria
Description: partial 16S ribosomal RNA
Rfam family: Bacterial small subunit ribosomal RNA
Source: RNAcentral